GCCUGACCAGCCAUGCCGCGUGCAGGAUGACGGUCCUAUGGAUUGUAAACUGCUUUUGCACAGGAAGAAACACUCCGACGUGUCGGAGCUUGACGGUACUGUGAGAAUAAGGAUCGGCUAACUCCGUGCCAGCAGCCGCGGUAAUACGGAGGAUCCAAGCGUUAUCCGGAAUCAUUGGGUUUAAAGGGUCCGUAGGCGGUCUUGUAAGUCAGUGGUGAAAGCCCAUCGCUCAACGGUGGAACGGCCAUUGAUACUGCAGGACUUGAAUUAUUGGGAAGUAACUAGAAUAUGUAGUGUAGCGGUGAAAUGCUUAGAGAUUACAUGGAAUACCAAUUGCGAAGGCAGGUUACUACCAAUGGAUUGACGCUGAUGGACGAAAGCGUGGGUAGCGAACAGGAUUAGAUACCCUGGUAGUCCACGCCGUAAACGAUGGAUACUAGCUGUUGGGAGCAAUCUCAGUGGCUAAGCGAAAGUGAUAAGUAUCCCACCUGGGGAGUACGAACGCAAGUUUGAAACUCAAAGGAAUUGACGGGGGCCCGCACAAGCGGUGGAGCAUGUGGUUUAAUUCGAUGAUACGCGAGGAACCUUACCAAGGCUUAAAUGCAGACUGACCGAUUUGGAAACAGAUCUUUCGC
Molecule: ribosomal RNA, 635 nt
Filed under: Flavobacterium sp. So2Pw_1335
Lineage: Bacteria; Pseudomonadati; Bacteroidota; Flavobacteriia; Flavobacteriales; Flavobacteriaceae
Description: bacterial SSU rRNA
Rfam family: Bacterial small subunit ribosomal RNA
Source: RNAcentral